GUGUGCUUUUAAUUUUUCUUAUUCCAUAUGUGGGUGAUAUUUUUGGUUUCUCUCACUCUCACUCUCACUCUCUCUAUUUCCUGUUUCUAGGUUUUGAUUUCACAUUUGUAGGGUUUUCAAUUGAUUCCAGGUCACAGCGGGCGAUACUUUGUAUAUAGCUGCGAAGACAUUCGAAGAAUUGAAUCUGUCUGCUGACUUGUUGAAGGGUUUAUAUGUGGAGAUGAAGUUUAGAGGCCGAGUAAGAUCCAGACGAUGAGUUUGCGUAUGAUUCUGACCCCUCCUUACAAGCACUUGAUCGCUCAGGCACACAAUGGUUCUGGCAAGACUACUUGUUUCGUGCUUGGCAUGUUGAGCCGUGUUGAUCCCAAACUCACUGCUCCUCAGGCGCUCUGUAUCUGCCCUACCCGAGAAUUGGCGAUCCAGAACAUGGAAGUUCUUAAGAAGAUGGGGAAUUAUACAGGAAUUACUUCUGAAUGUGCUAUACCAAUGGAUAGCAGCAAUUAUGUUCCAAUUUCAAAACGAGCACCAGUGACAGCACAAGUAGUGAUUGGCACUCCUGGUACAAUCAAUAAAUGGGUGACAGCAAAGAAAUUGAGCACGAACUAUUUGAAGAUUCUUGUUUUUGAUGAAGCUGACCACAUGUUGGCAGAGGUUUGAAGAAUUUGAAUCUGACUUUUCAUUCUUUGCAUAGCUAAAGCCAACACUUCCAAGUAGCUGAUCACCAUUCUGCUUAUCACCUCAUCUCCAAACAUCUUUGCCCUCUAUUUUCUAUUGGAGGCAUAAAUAAAAUUCAGAUUGAUCUUAAGAUAGUCAAAGUACCAAGUCAACGUUUAAUAUCCAUCAACAUAUUAUGAGCCAAAACAAUUGACUAGAACUUCCUAUAUUGAUUGAUAAUGGAGGUUAAAUAGGCACAAAGGAUGGUUAUAGCUAAACUGGUUCCUUCAAGGCCUUCUUCUCCACUUUUAGGUCCUUUUUCGAGCUCCUAGCCAGUGCUAUUGAUUCCUCACCCUCUAAUGCAUGUUCUGAAGCUGCAGUCAGUGCCAUUAGACCAAAAACUGUGAGGUUCAAGCCAAUGGUGAACCACCCUCCUAAACUUUCUUCCCAGAUGGAAAAUCCACCGUGGUCUUUUUUGGACUUCGUUUUUGGCCUUCUACAGCUUCUUGUCCAUUCAAGAAGGUGGCUAAGGGUUUGAAUUCAGAUGGAAAAUCCACUGUGGUUUACAAACCGUUGGCGAAGGUUAUAUGAAAGACAACAUUGUCUCUCUUGGCAAAUUUGGUUUAGUUUCUUCAAAAUAGAAAUGUCGUUGUUGUGAUCCACAAUGAACGAAACUUCAAUGUCCUCUGUGUUUGUGGGUGGUGUAAGGCCUUUUGGAGUUUCACUGCUAGUUGUUGGCCAACCGUAUCAGGGAUGUCAUUUGGGUCCUCAUUCGGUCGAACUUACUCAGAAUGGGUAAUAGACAGAGUAUGAUUGGCCUUCUAAAUGCUGCCUAUGUCAUGUUGUGAUUGAAGAGGGGAUUGAUCCUCAAACUACUCGAUUGGAUUGCUUGCGUAUGGGAUCAUGUCGCAUAUUGUCAAACUUCAUACAUGCAAAUUUUUUCUUUACAUGCAAGCUGGCUGAACUUGUACUGAAUAACAUCUUGCCUCUUAUUUGUUUUGUAUGAAAUUAUUAUUUGAAGUUGGAAUAUACUUGGUUUGUAUGCAAUGUUGACAUUAAAAGUUAUUCUCUUGUUUGGAUGGUUAUAAGUGAAAUAAAUGCAGAUUGCGAAAUGGGUGAUAAUA
Molecule: non-coding RNA, 1778 nt
Organism: Camellia sinensis
Lineage: Eukaryota; Viridiplantae; Streptophyta; Magnoliopsida; Ericales; Theaceae
Source: RefSeq, a predicted model, not a curated record